Long non-coding RNA from Lutra lutra (Eurasian river otter), 2066 nucleotides. RefSeq lists it as uncharacterized. NCBI's taxonomy places the organism in Eukaryota, Metazoa, Chordata, Mammalia, Carnivora, Mustelidae. The transcript has 5 exons. The record is from RefSeq and is a predicted model, not a curated record.
AGAUGAGGAGGUAGGGAUAGGGAGGGUCCAAGUGAACACAGGAAGACAGACAGAUGCUGGUGAUCUUUGGCUCUGCAAGGUGAGUCAGAGAGCAGAGAGGAGAGUGACUCCCAGGUCGCUGGCCUGGGAGAUUGAGUCCACAGGGACCGGGGAACAACAGCCUGUUUGGGGCAUGAUGACCAUCUGAGUCGUCUAGAGGGGUGUGGCCAUGACCAUCCUGGGGUGGUGGCCAAAUGGCAUCCUGACAGACGGAAGGUUCAUCACUCACCCAGGAGAGAGAACCCAGCGUGCGGGUGGCAUCCAUCCCACCAGCUGCAGGCCAGGGAGCCUGUUUCCUGCAGAUCUUCACCCUGAGGGGGAGGCCAGGACCCGUCAGCAGCCCCGCUGACUCACUGCCAUGCCCACUGAAGAGGCUGACAGGAGGGGACGUACAGAGCCUGCCCACCUGUGAGAAUAGGCCUGGCCGGGAUCCCCAGUUCUCACAGCCUCGGCACCAUCUGGGCUCCUCGAGCUGGGGCUGCCUGGGACCCCAGGACUCAGACCCCUUCCGUCCCACGCCCUCGCCUUUUCGUCCAGAGGCGACACUCACAUGAAGAAGAUGAGGCAGGGACAGAGACUGAGCAGGCCAGCAACACCGGCACCCGCGACGGCCCCCAGAACGAAUCCUCCCUCAAGCUCAGGCUUCCCUGCAGGGCGUGACAUUUCCAAGGUUCUCCCGCCUUGUGGCGCCUGCCUGGGCCUCGCUCCUGUUCAUGCAGAAUCAAGUUCAUCGCAUGGUCAGAUCGCCUUGUGCUUAUCCGUCCAUUGAUGGACACUGACCUCUUCGAGGCUCUGCGCCCAGUGCGGGGCUCAUACUCAUGACCCUAAGAUCAAGAGUUGCAGGCACCACGGACCGAGCCAGCCAGGCGCCCCUGGUGCCUUAACUGGGGUGGUGAGUACCAAGGUGUUCAUUGGAUGGUGAUUCUUUGUAACUUGCCUGUAUUUGACAAAAAGGCUUUGCAUAUAAUGAAUAGUAAGCGAAGAUCAUGGAGGGGGGGCCUCCCAGCUCUGCUCUCCCUGUGUGUCGACCUGGCCCUCCCGGCUUGGCUUUGAGCUCCAGGCUCUGCUCUGCUGGGGGGAUGUGCUCCCAUCCAGCCUUAGGGAGGGGGCCCUCCCGACUCACCUGUGCAGUUUCUUCGGGAGAUGGUGAUGCUCAGGUUCUGUGGGGCAUCUGGGACAGAGAGACACAGUGACAAAUGGGGUCGGAACUGGCCCUUCCCCUGCCAUCCAUCCCCAGGAGACACAGGAAUGGGAACUGACACAGACAAGCCCAGUGUCCUCCCUGCAGCCCCUCUGCGCCUCCCCGACCCACCCGCAGGUACCCAAGUCCAGGCCCUACACGCACAGAAGACGUUGAGCGUAAUGGUGCUUUGGGUGCUCACGCCAGCCCUGGGGAAGGUCACCCAACAGGGGCUGGGGACAAAGGGGAGAACAGGACCCACCUGACUCCUGCCCGCAGGACCCGGGGCUCGAACUUACAACCCUGUGAUCAAGACCUGAGCUGAGAUCAAGAAUUGGACACUUGACUGACUGAGCCACCCAAGCGCCGCUAGAUUUGAAUUUGUGUUUUGUAAGUGAAGUCUCAUGGGAUGAGGAGCUCCGGAGGGGGAAACUGGAACCUUGGAUCACAUGCUUCUCCCACCCUCCCCCUCCCCCACCCCUCACCGCCAGGGCAGGUUCUCAGCCCCACUCCCACCCCCAAGCCCCACCUGGGCACAGAGAGGAUCUGAGCUUUGCUGAGAGGUGGGAGCUCCACACCUCUAUACUGCCCACCAGUGGUCUACACUGCCCACCCACCCCCCAGUCAAGCCUGAGGGUCACACCUUUCCUGCUCCCAGAGGCUGCUCUGAGGACACACAGCCUUGAGAACACCUGUACCGUGCAGUGACUGAACCCAGUUAAGGCCUCCCCAUAUACAAACUUCAAGAUUUGGAAGGACAGGUGCACAGCCUACCGGUCUUGCCGCAGCCCAAGACAAGCUCCAAUGGAAGUUCCCUUUGCUUAUUUAAACUGCCACCUAGGGGCGC